Hypanus sabinus (Atlantic stingray) is the source of this 3217-nucleotide long non-coding RNA. RefSeq lists it as uncharacterized. The transcript has 3 exons. The record is from RefSeq and is a predicted model, not a curated record. Lineage: Eukaryota; Metazoa; Chordata; Chondrichthyes; Myliobatiformes; Dasyatidae.
GUAAAGAUGGACUGCAGUUAGCUAGAAGCCUACAAUCAGGAAAAGGAGACAACUGUGAAAGUUAAUAUCCAAUCCUAUAAGCAUGAAGUGCUUGCUUCACUUGAGUAUCAUCAAGUGAGAACUGAAAUCAAGAUAUAGCGGGAGAUUAAAAGGAAGAUGUCAAAAUGUUUGAUCAAUAAGAUUUAUUGAGUAUAUCCGCAGAACUAAAACUCAGGCUGAGCAACACUGGGACCAGAACACAUGUACAAAUCUUGAAAAGCUCAAGGACACCAGUGUGAGAUCUGCUAUCACCAUUCAGCUGAAGAACAGAUUCCAGGCUUUGCAGGAACUUAACUAGGAUGUGUCAGUUGACAGGAUCUACACAAUGUGGAAAUGGAUUGCUUCAGUCCACAAGGAGAGCAGUGAGGCUUGUCUAAGAUACAAAGUUUGAAAGAAGAAUAAAAAAUGGACACAGCAGGAAACAUCAACAACAUUAAAAAAGACAGAAAAUUAAGAAGAAAGUGUUAGAUGCAAAGUCAACAUGAAUAAAGGUAAAACAUCAACUGGCAUUACUGCAUCUAACAAGAAAGAGACUUGUAAAAAAGGAUAAGAGAAUCUACAUAGAAGACCUUGCAGAGGAAGUUGAAGCAACAACCAUUGAAGGUGCGCAGGGAAAUGGAUACAAGAUUUCAAAAUUGGUAUAUGGAACGUACCAGGCUAGGCACAGAUAAAAACAAUCUGCUUUUAACAAUUGAGAAGGAACAAGAAGCACGAUAGGUGGAAUAAUUCAGAGAAUUACUGAAUAGACAACCAUCAGAUUAAGAACCUGACAUACAAGUGCAGCAGAGGCCUUUGACAUCCACACAGAUCCAUGCAAGAAAGAAGAGAUUGCUGGUGCAAUUAGAUCAUUGAAGAACAGCAAAGCUCCAGGACAUGACAAUUUGAAUGAUGACCUGUUCAAAGCUGAACCAAAAGUUGCAGCAAUCAUCCUGCAAAUAGUGUUAACUAUAACCUGGGAAUGGAAACAAGUAUCCAGGAAAUAAACAAUGGGAGAUAUUGUAAGGAUCCCCAAGAAAGAAGUGCUAAGUGAUUGCAACAACUGGCAUGGCAAUGCACUUUUGUAAGUGUCCAGCAAGAUUCUCACCAAAGUCAUUGUACAAUGGAUUACAGACGCUAUUGAUGUGUGCUUGAGGAAGGCUGUGUCAAUCAGAUCUUCAUGAUGCAAAACAUGACAGAAUAUUGCAGAGUGGCAGAAACAAUUGUAUGCGGAUUUUGUGAACUUUGAAAAGGCUUUUGAUAGCAUCCACAUGGAGACCCUCUGGCAAAUUCUCAAAUCUACCAAAGUUAUCUAGUUUAUCCAAUGUUUCUACGUUAACUUCACCUGCAGAAUUAGAGACUGCAUUGAAAGUUAAGACAGGAGUCAGGCAAGGCUGUGUGAUGUGGACGAUAUUAUGUAACUUGGUGAUUGGGCUUUGAGCCAAACAAUGAAAGAUAAGCAAAGAGGCAAGGCUGAACUCUAUUCUCUACUUUAGAAGACCUUGAUUUUACAGAUGACCUCAUAUUACUAUCACACACAAGAGAAAACUCAGUGCCUGUGUACCUUUGAUGGACAGCUUGGACUCAGAGAGAGCCAGAGAAAGACUGAGUCAUGACCCUCAGAGUAGGGUCUCCUCUUCCCAUCAAUGUGUAUGGCAUCUACUUACCUAUUCACCCGACCUGGGCAGCAGCAUACUGCAGGAAGAUGGGGCCAAGGAUAACAUCCAGUGUAGACUCAGCAAAGCUAGAAGCAUCUUUGGAUCAAUGAGAUCCGAACAUAUGGAGAUCCACGAAGUACAGAGUCCACACCAAGGUGAUACUGUACAAGAGCUGUGUUCUGUCCACACUCCUGUAUGGGUCAGAAUGUUGGCACAUGACAGAAAACAACCUUGCAAAGCUGUCAUCAUUCAAAACCAUGAGCCUAUGGUAGAUCCUUCAUAUUUUUUUGCCCAGAAGAGAUCUCCAACCAUGCCCUACACCUUUAGUGUUACCAAGAGGACGUAGCCACAAUCAGCAUGAGGAAAUAUUGGAGAUACAUUGGGCAUGUGAUCAGAAUACAGAGCAACUCCAUCAUCUAGAUAGCACUUCAUCGGACCCCGGAAGGACAGAGGAAAUGUGGGAGACAAAACACGACUUAGUGCCAUACCAUAAAGGACGAAAUGAUGACCUUGAACCACACCUAGGGCACAAUAGAGAAAAUAGCGUAGGACAGGCAGAGAUGGGGGACCUUCAUUGCUGCCCUAAACUCCAGUGGCAUAAAAGGCAGUAACUCUGCAGGAAAAUGAAUCUCAGGGUUUAAUAUAGUGACAUAUAUGUACUUUGAUAAUAAAUUUACUUUGAACUUUGAACUUUGUAUGCUGAGUUCUAGUACUUCCAUUUAAACAUUGUUGGCAUUAUAUCAACACUGGGACAUUGGUAGUCCUCAAAGUCAGACAGAAUUUGGUAAUAUUUUGAUUGAAAAAAAUUAUUUUUAUCUAGUCACUAAGGUCCUGCCAUAAAUUUUCAGUGGGAAAUGACCAUAAUGGGCCUGUACUCCUUGGAGGUCAAAAACCUGUGAUGUUCUCGCUGAGGCAUUAGAUACUGAACAGGUCCAACAAGAGGAGAUUCUGUGGGGAAGUUUCCCCAGGUGGAGGAACCUAGAACUAGUAACCAUUGUCUCAGGAAACCGGGUCAACUAUUUAAAUUUGAGAGAAAGACGAAUUUCUUCAGAGAGUAACCAACUUUCGGAAUUCUCCAUCCCUGUGAGGUAUAGAGACAAAAUCAUUAAGAUAAUGGUUAUUUUGCACUACAAGGGAAUCAAAGGUAAUGGAAAUUGAAUGGGAAACCAGGAGUGGGGCCACUUUCCUUACUUAACUGACAGAAUGUGUCUGAGUAGCUGUUGGCCUACUGCUGCUCCUGUUUUUUAUGUUCUGAUUCUACUCUAAUUGUGCAUUAUAUUGCUAUUUGUCUCAGAGAUCACAGAAUAGUUGACCUUGGGAAAAUGCAGCUUGGAUGUAUUUGCGGCACAGAACAAUGAACAUAACUCCACAUUGUAUUUUAUCUGAGAGCACUAGAUAGGCCAUCGGAGAAGGAUCUUAAGUGAGGAUAUAACCAUAGUGUAUCUAAUUUGAGACUGCUUGACUCAGCCAUUAAACACAAAAUGUUCCAUUACCCUGGUAAUGCAUUUGUCAUCUUGAUGAGUACCUUUCAGUAAUAAGCAAUG